GAGUCCAGUAGCUUAAUUUAAAAGUACAACACUGAAAAUGUUGAGAUAGCAACAGCUCUGUCUCA
This 65-nucleotide transfer RNA is filed under the name Pilsbryoconcha exilis. Its description in RNAcentral is "tRNA-Phe". Lineage: Eukaryota; Metazoa; Mollusca; Bivalvia; Unionida; Unionidae. The record is from RNAcentral.